This 636-nucleotide long non-coding RNA is filed under the name Elaeis guineensis (African oil palm). Its description in RNAcentral is "long non-coding RNA (EGUI_LNC073770)". Lineage: Eukaryota; Viridiplantae; Streptophyta; Magnoliopsida; Arecales; Arecaceae. The record is from RNAcentral.
CAAAGAGGGAGUUAUGGAUAACACUCCUAAGCAUAUGAAAAGAAGCACGAUAAAUGGAUCAAAACCCAAAUUCUUGUUAGAGUCCCAAACCUAUAAUGGCAGCUGUGUAACUCAUGAGUGCUUGAGAAACUUCAGAGAAGAAAAAGAGAAUGGGAUGUUCUGAUAAAAAUUAUUCCCGGCCAAGUGUCUGCAGUUCGAGACACUCAAGUCAAAAAACAAAAAACAAAAAACAAAAACAAAACAAAAAACAAAAACAAAACUAGAAAAAAAGGGGAAAGGAGAAAACUUUCUCAAGGAUGCCAACAAAAACAACAAGAAACAUACACGUAGGUCACAUUCAGGGGCAAACCAUAAGGAAUUUCUCCAUAGGCGUUAUUUCUUUGAGUAAAACAAUAUAUCAAGAAUUAGAGACUUGCAUUCAAAAGAAAGAAAAGGGAACCUUCAAGAAUGCUUAUAUUGAUUUACGAAAAGAUUUUUCACGAACUGUAAGAUUCAAAGAAAAAGAAAUAAAAUUAACCAAAGAAAUAAGAAAAAGAAGAAGAAAAAGAAAUCAAAAACUCUCGUUGGAGCUGCAAUGGGUGGAAGGAGAUGAACAUUCGUUCGGAUUUAUCAAAGAGAAAUAUCGGAAAAAAAGCA